Molecule: small nucleolar RNA, 108 nt
Filed under: Myotis davidii
Lineage: Eukaryota; Metazoa; Chordata; Mammalia; Chiroptera; Vespertilionidae
Description: Small nucleolar RNA SNORA28
Rfam family: Small nucleolar RNA SNORA28
About the family: ACA28 is a member of the H/ACA class of snoRNA that guide the sites of modification of uridines to pseudouridines.
Source: Rfam by way of RNAcentral
ACUAAACAGUCAGGUAUUGCAUGUUUUAAAAAUUCUUUACAGCAACAAAGUCUAACCUAUUCCGGUGGUCUCCUCUAUGAGACAAACCGUUAUAUAGACUUAGACAGU